Molecule: small RNA, 410 nt
Filed under: Pan troglodytes (chimpanzee)
Lineage: Eukaryota; Metazoa; Chordata; Mammalia; Primates; Hominidae
Description: processed transcript
Source: RNAcentral
AAAUCAACCUGGAUGCCUUCCUUCACAAUAAUCUCAUGGAGGUAAUUUAAAGAAUCCCUUUUUUGGAGAGUCAGAGAGAAAAGCAAAAAAAACAGCAUGAGGAAUUUGAAGACUGAGAGAUGAGUUGUGUAGCACCAACAUUUUCUUUCUGCCUGACCUUCAUACCUGAUGAAUUAAAAGUACUGGUGACAGUAACAGUUUCCCUCUGUCUUUUGGCUGUUGACACUGAAGGAUGAUAGAGAUGAGUAGAAGAAGGCCAAACCCAGCCAUCACCAGAACAGGGCCUGCUGGCUUUGUGAGCAUUUCACAAUAUUGUCUGGAGCUGUUUGGCUUAUAGAAGAGGGAAGGUACUAUGAGCUAAUUUGUGUCAAGCUACUCCUCACAGCUAUAGGCAGGAAGUGCUAUUUCCU